AUUGAACGCUGGCGGCAGGCCUAACACAUGCAAGUCGAACGGUAACAGAAAGCAGCUUGCUGCUUUGCUGACGAGUGGCGGACGGGUGAGUAAUGUCUGGGAGACUGCCCGAUGGAGGGGGAUAACUACCGGAAACGGUAGCUAAUACCGCAUAACGUCGCAAGACCAAAGAGGGGGACCCUCGGGCCUCUUGCCAUCGGAUGUGCCCAGAUGGGAUUAGCUAGUAGGUGGGGUAACGGCUCACCUAGGCGACGAUCCCUAGCUGGUCUGAGAGGAUGACCAGCCACACUGGAACUGAGACACGGUCCAGACUCCUACGGGAGGCAGCAGUGGGGAAUAUUGCACAAUGGGCGCAAGCCUGAUGCAGCCAUGCCGCGUGUAUGAAGAAGGCCUUCGGGUUGUAAAGUACUUUCAGCGGGGAGGAAGGGAGUAAAGUUAAUACCUUUGCUCAUUGACGUUACCCGCAGAAGAAGCACCGGCUAACUCCGUGCCAGCAGCCGCGGUAAUACGGAGGGUGCAAGCGUUAAUCGGAAUUACUGGGCGUAAAGCGCACGCAGGCGGUUUGUUAAGUCAGAUGUGAAAUCCCCGGGCUCAACCUGGGAACUGCAUCUGAUACUGGCAAGCUUGAGUCUCGUAGAGGGGGGUAGAAUUCCAGGUGUAGCGGUGAAAUGCGUAGAGAUCUGGAGGAAUACCGGUGGCGAAGGCGGCCCCCUGGACGAAGACUGACGCUCAGGUGCGAAAGCGUGGGGAGCAAACAGG
RNAcentral lists this ribosomal RNA (759 nucleotides) under uncultured bacterium. RNAcentral's name for it is "bacterial SSU rRNA". It matches the Rfam family "Bacterial small subunit ribosomal RNA", at positions 28 to 776 of the family's 1533-position model. The record is from RNAcentral.